AUGCGAUACGUAAUGUGAAUUGCAGAUUUCAGUGAAUCAUCGAAUCUUUGAACGCACAUUGCGCCCGCCAGUAUUCUGGCGGGCAUGCCUGUUCGAGCGUCAUUUCAACCAUCAAGCCUUCGCUUGUGUUGGGGCCCCGCGGCUGCCGCGGCCCCCUAAAUCCAGUGGCGGGCUCGUCGUCGUACCGAGCGCAGUAGACAUCCUCGCUCCGGGAACCCGACGGGUGCCGGCCGUGAAACCCCCCACAUCAAGGUUGACCUCGGAUCAGGUAGGAAUACCCGCUGAACUUAA
This 291-nucleotide unclassified non-coding RNA is filed under the name uncultured Schizothecium. RNAcentral describes it as "partial contains 5.8S ribosomal RNA, internal transcribed spacer 2, and large subunit ribosomal RNA". The stretch from base 1 to 102 matches the Rfam family "5.8S ribosomal RNA", at positions 53 to 154 of the family's 154-position model. Lineage: Eukaryota; Fungi; Ascomycota; Sordariomycetes; Sordariales; Lasiosphaeriaceae. The record is from RNAcentral.